Long non-coding RNA from Brassica oleracea var. oleracea, 779 nucleotides. RefSeq lists it as uncharacterized. NCBI's taxonomy places the organism in Eukaryota, Viridiplantae, Streptophyta, Magnoliopsida, Brassicales, Brassicaceae. The record is from RefSeq and is a predicted model, not a curated record. The transcript has 3 exons.
GUGACCUUAUACACUAUAGCUUCAUGAGUUUAUUUUGAACCAUUGGUUUGAUUAUUUUUCUUUACAGUAGGCCGAUGUGGUGGAGAAGACCAAAAUCAACAGAUGUUUGUUUGAUGAAAACUUAGCAAAUGUACACGGAGGAAACCAGAGAAAGAAGCAGGCGACUACAUAUUUACCUGCAAGUUCUGUUCUAUGGCUUGGUCAGAGGGUGAGUUGUCCAUUCGUGAUUUGUAUGGCGAUCCUUACAACCAACCCAUUAACAAUCAGGUACAUCGUGUUAGUUCAAUACGUUCCGCGGAUUCUUCGUAUGUAACCUUUAAGUUCAGUGCUGAAAAUAACAACAUGAGUAUUCGCGGGAACUGCUUGGGCUGGUGCAGCUUACUAAUUGCUACUUUACAUGCUUGCAAGUCAUGUAAGUAACCAUUCCAACCGCUUCUAUUGUUUCCUUUCAAGUGAUAAUGUUUUCAUAGGAGUUUUUUUUGUAAACGCCAAUUGUUGGAGCGUUGUGGUAUUUGCUUGCUAGGAGCGCAAUAACGAUUGCUCAAGUAAGGCUCUUAUGAUGAUGGAAGUUCUUAACUCUCUAGGGCUAGAUGACCUGUGUACAGACGUGAUGUUGAUGAUUCUCGUCAUAUACACAGAGUAUGCUUUUGUACUCAUUGUCCCCUAAAUUGACCAUGCUUUUCGAAUUUUCCCAUGGUUUUCAUACAACUGCAUCAUCACUAUCAUAACUAAUGAAAACCAUACCGUGCUACCAUGGUGCUUAAUCUAACUCAGCAUUG